RNAcentral lists this ribosomal RNA (468 nucleotides) under uncultured bacterium. RNAcentral's name for it is "partial 16S ribosomal RNA". It matches the Rfam family "Bacterial small subunit ribosomal RNA", at positions 28 to 507 of the family's 1533-position model. The record is from RNAcentral.
GACGAACGCUGGCGGCGUGCUUAACACAUGCAAGUCGAACGGAAAGGCCCUGCUUUUGUGGGGUGCUCGAGUGGCGAACGGGUGAGUAACACGUGAGUAACCUGCCCUUGACUUUGGGAUAACUCCAGGAAACUGGGGCUAAUAUCGGAUAGGAGCUCCUGCUGCAUGGUGGGGGUUGGAAAGUUUCGGCGGUUGGGGAUGGACUCGCGGGUUAUCAGCUUGUUGGUGGGGUAGUGGCUUACCAAGGCUUUGACGGGUAGCCGGCCUGAGAGGGUGACCGGCCACAUUGGGACUGAGAUACGGCCCAGACUCCUACGGGAGGCAGAAGUGGGGAAUAUUGCACAAUGGGCGGAAGCCUGAUGCAGCAACGCCGCGUGCGGGAUGACGGCCUUCGGGUUGUAAACCGCUUUCGCCUGUGACGAGGCGUGAGUGACGGUAAUGGGUAAAGAAGCACCGGCUAACUACGUG